CCUGUAAUGAGAUACUAUUCUUUUCUCUCCCAGAAUUUCUGCCCUGUUGUGCAGUCCUGUCAUCACAGCUACCAUGAGGUCAAAUGUAAGCUCUCAGCUACUGCUCCAGUGCCAUGCCUGCCUGCUGCCAUACUCCCAACCAUGAAGGUCAUGGAAUCUAACCCUCUGGAACUCUACUGACGGUGACCGAACCUAUGCUGACCUUUGCUAAUAGAACUGCAGGUGUAAUGGAACUGUGGACAGAUGUGUGAAUGGACUCAUAUUGUUAAGAAUUACCCCAUGGAUUGGAAAAUAAAAUCUUCGCCUGUGCUGUUUAGAGGUUUAAUGUGCUACACUAUUGACUGUGGUUGAUUAAUAAGUCAUUAAAUAAGAGUCUGAAGCUAAUCCAG
This 389-nucleotide long non-coding RNA is filed under the name Cricetulus griseus (Chinese hamster). RNAcentral describes it as "lncRNA (ENSCGRG00015033077.1)". Lineage: Eukaryota; Metazoa; Chordata; Mammalia; Rodentia; Cricetidae. The record is from RNAcentral.